This 200-nucleotide ribosomal RNA is filed under the name uncultured eukaryote. RNAcentral describes it as "partial 18S ribosomal RNA". The record is from RNAcentral.
GCUCCAAUAGCGUGUACUAAUGCUGUUGCAGUUAAAUAGUUCGUAGUUGAACUUCUGGUAGGAGCGACCGGCCUGGGGCAACCUUGUUGCUGUGCGUCGUCUCUGGCCAUCCUGAGUGGUCUCGGCCACUCUCUUUCACUGUAAAUAAAGGUGGACGCUUAGAGUAGAAGCUUCUUCGGAAAUUUUUAGUAUGGGAUGAU